Molecule: ribosomal RNA, 253 nt
Filed under: uncultured bacterium
Lineage: Bacteria
Description: partial 16S ribosomal RNA
Rfam family: Bacterial small subunit ribosomal RNA
Source: RNAcentral
UCCGUAGGGCGCAAGCGUUAUCCGGACUUAUUGGGCGUAAAGAGCUCGUAGGCGGUUUGUCGCGUCUGCCGUGAAAGUCCGGGGCUCAACUCCGGAUCUGCGGUGGGUACGGGCAGACUAGAGUGAUGUAGGGGAGACUGGAAUUCCUGGUGUAGCGGUGAAAUGCGCAGAUAUCAGGAGGAACACCGAUGGCGAAGGCAGGUCUCUGGGCAUUAACUGACGCUGAGGAGCGAAAGCAUGGGGAGCGAACAGG